This 91-nucleotide non-coding RNA is filed under the name marine eukaryotic metagenome. Its description in RNAcentral is "Rhodo-rpoB RNA". It matches the Rfam family "Rhodo-rpoB RNA". The record is from RNAcentral.
GAUCGGGAGGCUUUCGUUGGGAAGAAAGCCGAGAAUUGAUCGAAUUUUGCUGUCUCUUGAAGGGGGCGCGGCUGGUACCCGACAGCGCGUG